UCCUAGUUAACCUAGGCAGUCUCAUUAGAGUUCCCGCCAUUACGCGCUGGCAACUAAUGAUAAGGGUUGCGCUCGUUGCUGGACUUAACCAAACACCUCACGGCACGAGCUGACGACAGCCAUGCAGCACCUAUAUAGAGACCCUUUCGGGAACGGCAAUCUCUCGCCGCGUCCUCUACAUUUCGAGCCCAGGUAAGGUUCUUCGCGUUGCAUCGAAUUAAACCACAUGCUCCACUGCUUGUGCGGGCCCCCGUCAAUUCUUUUGAGUUUCACCCUUGCGAGCGUACUCCCCAGGCGGCAUACUUAACGCGUUAGCUCCGAAACAGAAAGGGUUGAGCCCCCCUACUUCUAGUAUGCAUCGUUUACAGCUAGGACUAC
RNAcentral lists this unclassified non-coding RNA (378 nucleotides) under uncultured Chlamydiales bacterium. RNAcentral describes it as "contains 16S-23S intergenic spacer region". Lineage: Bacteria; Pseudomonadati; Chlamydiota; Chlamydiia; Chlamydiales. The record is from RNAcentral.